This 447-nucleotide ribosomal RNA is filed under the name Triticum aestivum (bread wheat). RNAcentral's name for it is "partial small subunit ribosomal RNA". The record is from RNAcentral. Lineage: Eukaryota; Viridiplantae; Streptophyta; Magnoliopsida; Poales; Poaceae.
AUGGUCAGUGCCCAGAGGCUUGCCCAACUGGCAAAGAAGUGGCAGAAGAUGGUGGCUAUUGGGAGGAAGAGGAUCACCCAGACUACAACGGCGAAAAGAGCCGCCGCCGAGUGCCGCGCGGUGACCUCAGUAGCGGUGAAGGGGCACUGCAUGGUAUACACCUCGGAUGGCAGCCGGUUUGAGGUGCCACUGGAGUACCUCAGCACAGUGGUCUUCAGUGAGCUCCUGAGGAUGUCUCAGGAGGAGUUUGGAUUCGCGGGCGGACAAGAAGGUCGCAUCACGCUGCCCUGCGACACUGCAGACAUGGAAUACGCCAUGUGUUUGCUCAGGAGAGAUGCCUCCACGGAAGUAGUGAUGGCGUUCCUGAGCUCCAAUGCAAGACCGUGCUGCUUUGAUGAUGGUGUGGUGCCAUGCAUAGGGCUUAACCAUUAUGUAGGUGUUUGUUAG